Molecule: ribosomal RNA, 464 nt
Filed under: Clostridioides sp. ZZV14-6387
Lineage: Bacteria; Bacillati; Bacillota; Clostridia; Peptostreptococcales; Peptostreptococcaceae
Description: bacterial SSU rRNA
Rfam family: Bacterial small subunit ribosomal RNA
Source: RNAcentral
CCUACGGGUGGCAGCAGUAGGGAAUUUUCGGCAAUGGGGGAAACCCUGACCGAGCAACGCCGCGUGAAGGAAGAAGUAAUUCGUUAUGUAAACUUCUGUCAUAGAGGAAGAACGGUGGAUAUAGGGAAUGAUAUCCAAGUGACGGUACUCUAUAAGAAAGCCACGGCUAACUACGUGCCAGCAGCCGCGGUAAUACGUAGGUGGCGAGCGUUAUCCGGAAUUAUUGGGCGUAAAGAGGGAGCAGGCGGCACUAAGGGUCUGUGGUGAAAGAUCGAAGCUUAACUUCGGUAAGCCAUGGAAACCGUAGAGCUAGAGUGUGUGAGAGGAUCGUGGAAUUCCAUGUGUAGCGGUGAAAUGCGUAGAUAUAUGGAGGAACACCAGUGGCGAAGGCGACGAUCUGGCGCAUAACUGACGCUCAGUCCCGAAAGCGUGGGGAGCAAAUAGGAUUAGAUACCCUAGUAGUC